AUUGAACGCUGGCGGCAUGCUUUACACAUGCAAGUCGAACGGUAACGCGGGGCAACCUGGCGACGAGUGGCGAACGGGUGAGUAAUGCAUCGGAACGUGCCCGGUAGUGGGGGAUAACUGCUCGAAAGAGCAGCUAAUACCGCAUACGACCUGAGGGUGAAAGGGGGGGAUCGCAAGACCUCUCGCUAUUGGAGCGGCCGAUGUCGGAGUAGCUAGUUGGUGGGGUAAGGGCCCACCAGGGCGACGAUCCGUAGCUGGUCUGAGAGGACGACCAGCCACACUGGGAAUGAGACACGGCCCAGACUCCUACGGGAGGCAGCAGUGGGGAAUUUUGGACAAUGGACGCAAGUCUGAUCCAGCCAUGCCGCGUGCGGGAAGAAGGCCUUCGGGUUGUAAACCGCUUUUGUCAGAGAAGAAAUCUUCUGGGUUAAUACCUCGGGAGGAUGACGGUAUCUGAAGAAUAAGCACCGGCUAACUACGUGCCAGCCGCCGCCGUAA
Molecule: ribosomal RNA, 498 nt
Filed under: uncultured bacterium
Lineage: Bacteria
Description: partial 16S ribosomal RNA
Rfam family: Bacterial small subunit ribosomal RNA
Source: RNAcentral